AACUGAAACAUCUAAGUACCCCGAGGAAAAGAAAUCAACCGAGAUUCCCCCAGUAGCGGCGAGCGAACGGGGAGCAGCCCAGAGCCUGAAUCAGUGUGUGUGUUAGUGGAAGCGUCUGGAAAGGCGCGCGAUACAGGGUGACAGCCCCGUACACAAAAAUGCACAUGCUGUGAGCUCGAUGAGUAGGGCGGGACACGUGGUAUCCUGUCUGAAUAUGGGGGGACCAUCCUCCAAGGCUAAAUACUCCUGACUGACCGAUAGUGAACCAGUACCGUGAGGGAAAGGCGAAAAGAACCCCGGCGAGGGGAGUGAAAAAGAACCUGAAACCGUGUACGUACAAGCAGUGGGAGCACGCUUAGGCGUGUGACUGCGUACCUUUUGUAUAAUGGGUCAGCGACUUAUAUUCUGUAGCAAGGUUAACCGAAUAGGGGAGCCGAAGGGAAACCGAGUCUUAACUGGGCGUUAAGUUGCAGGGUAUAGACCCGAAACCCGGUGAUCUAGCCAUGGGCAGGUUGAAGGUUGGGUAACACUAACUGGAGGACCGAACCGACUAAUGUUGAAAAAUUAGCGGAUGACUUGUGGCUGGGGGUGAAAGGCCAAUCAAACCGGGAGAUAGCUGGUUCUCCCCGAAAGCUAUUUAGGUAGCGCCUCGUGAAUUCAUCUCCGGGGGUAGAGCACUGUUUCGGCAAGGGGGUCAUCCCGACUUACCAACCCGAUGCAAACUACGAAUACCGGAGAAUGUUAUCACGGGAGACACACGGCGGGUGCUAACGUCCGUCGUGAAGAGGGAAACAACCCAGACCGCCAGCUAAGGUCCCAAAGUCAUGGUUAAGUGGGAAACGAUGUGGGAAGGCCCAGACAGCCAGGAUGUUGGCUUAGAAGCAGCCAUCAUUUAAAGAAAGCGUAAUAGCUCACUGGUCGAGUCGGCCUGCGCGGAAGAUGUAACGGGGCUAAACCAUGCACCGAAGCUGCGGCAGCGACGCUGAUGCGUUGUUGGGUAGGGGAGCGUUCUGUAAGCCUGCGAAGGUGUGCUGUGAGGCAUGCUGGAGGUAUCAGAAGUGCGAAUGCUGACAUAAGUAACGAUAAAGCGGGUGAAAAGCCCGCUCGCCGGAAGACCAAGGGUUCCUGUCCAACGUUAAUCGGGGCAGGGUGAGUCGACCCCUAAGGCGAGGCCGAAAGGCGUAGUCGAUGGGAAACAGGUUAAUAUUCCUGUACUUGGUGUUACUGCGAAGGGGGGACGGAGAAGGCUAUGUUGGCCGGGCGACGGUUGUCCCGGUUUAAGCGUGUAGGCUGGUUUUCCAGGCAAAUCCGGAAAAUCAAGGCUGAGGCGUGAUGACGAGGCACUACGGUGCUGAAGCAACAAAUGCCCUGCUUCCAGGAAAAGCCUCUAAGCAUCAGGUAACAUCAAAUCGUACCCCAAACCGACACAGGUGGUCAGGUAGAGAAUACCAAGGCGCUUGAGAGAACUCGGGUGAAGGAACUAGGCAAAAUGGUGCCGUAACUUCGGGAGAAGGCACGCUGAUAUGUAGGUGAAGUCCCUCGCGGAUGGAGCUGAAAUCAGUCGAAGAUACCAGCUGGCUGCAACUGUUUAUUAAAAACACAGCACUGUGCAAACACGAAAGUGGACGUAUACGGUGUGACGCCUGCCCGGUGCCGGAAGGUUAAUUGAUGGGGUUAGCGCAAGCGAAGCUCUUGAUCGAAGCCCCGGUAAACGGCGGCCGUAACUAUAACGGUCCUAAGGUAGCGAAAUUCCUUGUCGGGUAAGUUCCGACCUGCACGAAUGGCGUAAUGAUGGCCAGGCUGUCUCCACCCGAGACUCAGUGAAAUUGAACUCGCUGUGAAGAUGCAGUGUACCCGCGGCAAGACGGAAAGACCCCGUGAACCUUUACUAUAGCUUGACACUGAACAUUGAGCCUUGAUGUGUAGGAUAGGUGGGAGGCUUUGAAGUGUGGACGCCAGUCUGCAUGGAGCCGACCUUGAAAUACCACCCUUUAAUGUUUGAUGUUCUAACGUGGACCCGUAAUCCGGGUUGCGGGUACAGUGUCUGGUGGGUAGUUUGACUGGGGCGGUCUCCUCCUAAAGAGUAACGGAGGAGCACGAAGGUUGGCUAAUCCUGGUCGGACAUCAGGAGGUUAGUGCAAUGGCAUAAGCCAGCUUGACUGCGAGCGUGACGGCGCGAGCAGGUGCGAAAGCAGGUCAUAGUGAUCCGGUGGUUCUGAAUGGAAGGGCCAUCGCUCAACGGAUAAAAGGUACUCCGGGGAUAACAGGCUGAUACCGCCCAAGAGUUCAUAUCGACGGCGGUGUUUGGCACCUCGAUGUCGGCUCAUCACAUCCUGGGGCUGAAGUAGGUCCCAAGGGUAUGGCUGUUCGCCAUUUAAAGUGGUACGCGAGCUGGGUUUAGAACGUCGUGAGACAGUUCGGUCCCUAUCUGCCGUGGGCGCUGGAGAACUGAGGGGGGCUGCUCCUAGUACGAGAGGACCGGAGUGGACGCAUCACUGGUGUUCGGGUUGUCAUGCCAAUGGCACUGCCCGGUAGCUAAAUGCGGAAGAGAUAAGUGCUGAAAGCAUCUAAGCACGAAACUUGCCCCGAGAUGAGUUCUCCCUGACUCCUUGAGAGUCCUGAAGGAACGUUGAAGACGACGACGUUGAUAGGCCGGGUGUGUAAGCGCAGCGAUGCGUUGAGCUAACCGGUACUAAUGAACCGUGAGGCUUAACCUU
This 2717-nucleotide ribosomal RNA is filed under the name Escherichia coli BCE001_MS16. Its description in RNAcentral is "bacterial LSU rRNA". It matches the Rfam family "Bacterial large subunit ribosomal RNA". Lineage: Bacteria; Pseudomonadati; Pseudomonadota; Gammaproteobacteria; Enterobacterales; Enterobacteriaceae. The record is from RNAcentral.